This 388-nucleotide ribosomal RNA is filed under the name Ctenophora sp. (in: diatoms). Its description in RNAcentral is "Ctenophora sp. (in: Bacillariophyta) partial small subunit ribosomal RNA". It matches the Rfam family "Eukaryotic small subunit ribosomal RNA", at positions 582 to 975 of the family's 1831-position model. Lineage: Eukaryota; Bacillariophyta; Fragilariophyceae; Fragilariales; Fragilariaceae. The record is from RNAcentral.
AUUCCAGCUCCAAUAGCGUAUAUUAAAGUUGUUGCAGUUAAAAAGCUCGUAGUUGGAUUUCGGAACCGGCCGAUUGGUCCGUCCUCUGGAUCGUGUACUGAUCGGUCUGUUCUUCUUCGCGAAGACCGCGUGUGCCCUUAACUGGGUGGGCGCGGGAUUCGCGACGUUUACUUUGAAAAAAUUAGAGUGUUCAAAGCAGGCAGUCGCUUGAAUAUCUCAGCAUGGAAUAAUAGAAUAGGACUUUGGUCUUAUUUUGUUGGUUUCCGAGACCGAAGUAAUGAUUAACAGGGACAGUCAGGGGCACUCGUAUUCCGCCGAGAGAGGUGAAAUUCUCAGACCAGCGGAAGACGAACCACUGCGAAAGCAUUAGCCAGGGAUGUUUUCAUUA